UGAGCAAUCUGCCCUUCUCUUCGGAAUAAGCGUUGGAAACGACGUCUAAUGCCGAAUACGACCUCCUUUCGCAUGAUCGGAGGUGGAAAGCUCCGGCGGAGAAGGAUGAGCUCGCGGCCUAUCAGCUAGUUGGUGAGGUAACGGCUCACCAAGGCGACGACGGGUAGCUGGUCUGAGAGGAUGGCCAGCCACAUUGGAACUGAGACACGGUCCAGACUCUACGGGAG
RNAcentral lists this ribosomal RNA (227 nucleotides) under uncultured bacterium. Its description in RNAcentral is "partial 16S ribosomal RNA". It matches the Rfam family "Bacterial small subunit ribosomal RNA", at positions 118 to 347 of the family's 1533-position model. The record is from RNAcentral.